GACGGGGGCCCGCACAAGCGGAGGAACAUGUGGUUUAAUUCGAUGAUACGCGAGGAACCUUUACCUGGGCUUAAAUGUAGAUUGCAUGAGGUGGAAACACUUUCUUCCCUUCGGGGCUAUUUACAAGGUGCUGCAUGGUUGUCGUCAGCUCGUGCCGUGAGGUGUCGGGUUAAGUCCCAUAACGAGCGCAACCCUUACCGUUAGUUGCCAUCGGGUCAAGCCGGGGGACUCUAGCGGGACUGCCACCGUAAGGUGAGAGGAAGGUGGGGAUGACGUCAAAUCAGCACGGCCCUUAUGUCCAGGGCUACACACGUGUUACAAUGGCCGGUACAGAGGGCAGCUACCUGGUGACAGGAUGCUAAUCCCGAAAGCCGGUCCCAGUUCGGAUUGGAGUCUGCAACCCGACUCCAUGAAGUUGGAUUCGCUAGUAAUCGCGCAUCAGCCAUGGCGCGGUGAAUACGUUCCCGGGCCUU
This 473-nucleotide ribosomal RNA is filed under the name uncultured Sphingobacteriales bacterium. Its description in RNAcentral is "bacterial SSU rRNA". It matches the Rfam family "Bacterial small subunit ribosomal RNA", at positions 912 to 1382 of the family's 1533-position model. The record is from RNAcentral. Lineage: Bacteria; Pseudomonadati; Bacteroidota; Sphingobacteriia; Sphingobacteriales.